Molecule: long non-coding RNA, 342 nt
Organism: Juglans regia (Persian walnut)
Lineage: Eukaryota; Viridiplantae; Streptophyta; Magnoliopsida; Fagales; Juglandaceae
Exons: 3
Source: RefSeq, a predicted model, not a curated record
AGUAAUUUCCAUAAGCUUUCUUCCUGCGUAUGAGAGGCUCUCGGUUUCCACUAACCCGUGUGAUUCCUCUCAUUUCUUCAAGCCGAUCCCUUUCAGUUGUGAACCCAAGCUUUCCAUCGAAGAUCCUCAUGGGAAUCGACCCCAAAUUUCUGUUGUGUUCCAGCCCCAAAUAUUUCGGAUUCUCUUCCUCUUCUCGUUGCGUGUGUUUCCAUGGCUUCUAAAAGGACCCAAACAGGUAUGAACGAUGAGGCUGUGGUGCCGGGUGCUGCUGAGGAGGGAGGGGCUGAGGUUUAGAGUUCUCGGUUGGUUUGAUUUGGAGGACAAUGAUUAUGUUUUCUUUAU